RNAcentral lists this long non-coding RNA (267 nucleotides) under Lathyrus oleraceus (garden pea). RNAcentral describes it as "Pisum sativum (pea) long non-coding RNA (PSAT_LNC024686)". The record is from RNAcentral. Lineage: Eukaryota; Viridiplantae; Streptophyta; Magnoliopsida; Fabales; Fabaceae.
AAGUAUUUCCCUUGUAUUUUUCAAAGUCAGGGACCUUGAAUUUCACAGGGAUCUUCACAUUAGGAACCAAUCAGAGUUCGGCAGCAGACUUGCCGAAAAGAUCCUUUCCUUUGAGAGUUUUCAAUUCCUUGCGAAGCUCAAGAAAUUGAUCAUUCAUAGCGUCCAUCUUCUCAUAGACAUCUGGGCCUUCAGACGGCUCAGAAUGAUAGAUGGUGUUGUCUACUAUGGGUAUAGUAUGCACGAUAGGAGGAGGAACAACAAGGACCG